GUAUUAUUCUCUCUACAUAGUAUACUCUUGUGCUCACUGUAAGAAAUUAUGAUUUUUAAUUUUACAUCGAUAUAAAAAAUUUACUUAAAAUAUUAAACAGUAUGGUAAAAUGGUACUUACUCAAUAAAAUUUUUAAUUUCUUCAUAAUUAUUUAGAACAUAAAAGUGUAUCUUGGAUAGCUCGUUCACGUCUAUAAAUUCAUAUCUCCUUGCACCAAU
Molecule: long non-coding RNA, 218 nt
Filed under: Elaeis guineensis (African oil palm)
Lineage: Eukaryota; Viridiplantae; Streptophyta; Magnoliopsida; Arecales; Arecaceae
Description: long non-coding RNA (EGUI_LNC074613)
Source: RNAcentral